This 2263-nucleotide long non-coding RNA is filed under the name Nicotiana benthamiana. RNAcentral describes it as "long non-coding RNA (NBEN_LNC012140)". The record is from RNAcentral. Lineage: Eukaryota; Viridiplantae; Streptophyta; Magnoliopsida; Solanales; Solanaceae.
AAAGUGAUUAUCAUUUAUUAGCGAAAAAUAAACUAUUAGCGUGCUAUUGUCAUCAUCAGCCUAAUAUCAACAUUAUAUAAAUCUGAAAGUUUACACAAUCUAGUUAGGUUCAAUUAAUAUAGAAUUCUAAAAUUACCUAAUCUAGCGUAUGAAAUAACGUGAUGAGAAGCAGCUAAUCUACCAGAACCUGUAGCUUCAUGUUCUAUAUUUAAACUUCAUAUUUUAGCCUGUGCAAUGAGCCACUAACAUCAAUUAUGCUAAAGCUGAAAUCACAGCCACACAGUUGAUCAAAACAAAGUUCACAUAGUCUAAAAGUACAUUAUUUAAUUACAGAAAUUAAGCAAAUCUAACAGUCAAUUCAGUUUAACUGCAAUUCUACUUAUACUGUCCAAUGAGGUUCAUAAAAUUACAAAAUAUCUAACAUGAAAACUAAUGGAAAACAGAGCCAAAGCUGCAUGUUCAAUUAAUAUCUAACUGAGAGGUUAUGUAUCAUGUUCCUGGAAGUGGAAAUUUAAUAAGAAGAAGAGAUCAACAUUAGCUCAGGCACAACAAAUCAAUAAACAAUCAACCAAAAACAAAUGCACAGUCCAGAUUUAAAUGCAAGCAAGCUCAUGUACUCCACGAGCUGUAAUAAAACCAAUUGAGAGUCGAAAUGGUAUUGCUAAACCCAGAAAAAGUUGAUAGAUGAAGAGCAAAUACCAAAACCAACCCAAGCAACCUUAAUAUAACUCCAAACUGACUCGAAAUAACAAACAAGAGCAAUCUUUGAAUUCUAGCAACCAAACAAUAGGAAUUUUCAGGCAGAACUUAUCAAUCGAUCUACAAAAUCGCAAUAGAACAGUUUUUAUUUUAUUUUUGUGCCUUUUUGUAUUUUUUCAUUUUUUCUAAGAUGAGAAAGAGAGCUUCAGAUCUGGAGUUUGAAUCUAAAUUCAAAUUAACUUUUGGAAGCUUAAGACUAUUUUGGGGGGAAUUUUUGGCUGAAAAACUUGUGAAUGAAGCAAAGAAGACUGCCUUUCAUAGGCAUCAAUUAGGGCAACCCGUAGAUUUUGUAUUUUUCCUUUAGUCCUUAUUUUAUUUUCACAAUAGUCAUCUACUUAUUGACUUGAUCUCAAGUAAACAACCUAACUUUCUGAAAUUAGAACAAAAGUCCUAUUCUAGAAGGUUCUAGGUAAUUCUAGUAUAAACUACAACAUUUCUGCUCAGCCCUAAGUACCCUAACUGCCCAUGAACUCAUUUGAAAUCACUAGCCUAAUACAACUAUAUCCAAACAAUGAUCUAACUAAGAUUAACUAAACUAAACCUAAGAAUUAUUUGAAACUAGACACUAAACUAUGUAAUUAUUAAAGACAAUUACCAGUUAAACUGACCUAAACUAAUUAACACUUGCUAACAACAAUUGUAAGGAAUUGAGAUUCAAACAAGCCUUCAAACAAGAUCCAUUAAUGCAUCAAAGAUAGAUAGAAACAUAUUCCAAAUAUAAAUUAAACUAAAAUCUAAAUUACCAACGCAUGAUUUAAACAAGAAUGAAACCGGAUUAAACUACAAAAUAAUUAUUGAAACAUAUAAGGAACCUACAAUUAAGAAUCUAAAUAGAAAUAAACGAAGAAGUUUAAUGAAUUAAUAUCUAUUAUCAAUUCAAGCAACAACUAAAUUAAUUAAUCAACAAUUACCAAAGUAAGACUGAAAAUCACAAAAUAACUACAAAUGCAAAGAUAAACCUAAAGGGAAUGCCUAGGCUAAACUAUUGGCUGGUUAACACAAAUACACAAAAACUAAUUCAAAUGUUAAAGCGACCUAAUUAGGCUAAGUGAUUGAACAAAAAAACGAAACAAGUUUAAACCAAAAGAAAUUCGAAGAAAAGAGAAGGAGACAAAGCUGAGGAGGAACGACCGUGAAGAAUAAGAAACAAAUUAACAAACAUAUGAGCUCGAUUUCAAAACUUCAAAGAAAAGGAAUAGAAUCCUAGCACACUCAAUUUUAGGUUCUCCAGAUUCAAUAUUUGAGGAAUUGGACCGGCAUUCGAGGGAUAAGGACAAAGGAAACAAGAUGAGGGGAGUUAGGGCGUAAAUUCAGGGUCAGUUUGCAGUGGCGCCGCCACUGGAGCCGAUGGGGGGUUGAGAUGGCUAGAUUAGGGUUCUUGUGAAAAGGGUUACUGAGAGAGAUGAUGCAGGUGGGGGGUGAGGGGUUCAGACACUCUUAUAUGAAAAUGACCCAACUUCCUGACCGUCCGAUCAACUAACCUAGAUGACCCAGAUUAAAAUCC